This 73-nucleotide transfer RNA is filed under the name Spirochaetaceae bacterium. Its description in RNAcentral is "tRNA-Thr". It matches the Rfam family "tRNA". Rfam says of the family: Transfer RNA (tRNA) molecules are approximately 80 nucleotides in length. The record is from RNAcentral. Lineage: Bacteria; Pseudomonadati; Spirochaetota; Spirochaetia; Spirochaetales; Spirochaetaceae.
GCCAUCUUAGCUCAGUUGGUAGAGCGCGUGACUUGUAAUCUCGAGGUCUUCGGUUCGACUCCGGAAGAUGGCU